This 1805-nucleotide long non-coding RNA is filed under the name Brassica napus (rape). Its description in RNAcentral is "long non-coding RNA (BNAP_LNC006091)". Lineage: Eukaryota; Viridiplantae; Streptophyta; Magnoliopsida; Brassicales; Brassicaceae. The record is from RNAcentral.
UUUUUUUUUUUUUUAAAUAUUUACGAUUUUAUUGAUAAUCCGGAAACCGGCAUUACAGCGUCAAUUACAAGCUCGAAUCAACCAAAAUUUUCUAAAUCAAACCUCACAAGACUAGCUUCGCUCGCUCACUAAACCGACGCCAUCCACUAGAAUGUUCGGGAAUCCUUAGAAUAUCAGUCCCCGUUCUCAACCGUUAAUAGGAGCCACGAGAAUGUGAGGUUUACCACGUUUCCGCGGAUGCCGGUCUUCCCGUGCUAUUACCGGAGUAGCUGGUUUCGAUGAUCUCUUCAAACUCGUAAUUUAGACUGUCCGUGAAGCUCUUGACGCUAACAGUAAAAGAGGAUAGAUAGCAAACCUAGAGGGAAGUAUCGGAGCCUCUGAAACCGCCGGGACUAGGAAAGCUGAGAACCGCCGAGGACCUGAAGACAGACUCGACGACUCAUCGCCUUCAGACAAGACGGGCUGCAGUGAAGGUGAAUCCAGAAACAAAUGCUUCAGUUCCUGCAAAAGAUGAAAGAGGUAAACUUGCCAAGGGGACCAAUCAGUCGCCUAAGCACUGGGAUAGCUCAUCUCAACCCAGGUCUCCUCGCCAAAACGAGCUCCGAAUGACUCAAUCAGGAGCACACAUGACGCCCUGGUCCACAUCAGAGAACCUAAUGCGAUCAUCCAAGCUCUGCGCAGCUACACCCCGCUGGAGACACGGAGAAGAAACUGAAACAGAGAAACUGAAGGAUACAUCCCGCGCGAGAUGUCAAACACUUGCCCAGAACAUGAACGAGAACCAACAAAAAGUGAGCACUCUUGAGCGACAGAGAGGACCAAGCCAUAGACGACAAAGCUUCUCAAACCACUCCAGAACUGCAGACGCCAAACCCCACGGAACCAACCACCACACGACAGUCGGAAUCAUGGGUACGAACCGACGGAACAACCGCCGCCACUCUUGAGCCAAAGCAAAUCCCACCACCAUCACAAGACCCCAAGCGAUGGUGAUAAAGAAACCUUUAGACACCACCCAUCGUCGAGGACACAACCUCGAGAUACAGAUCCAAAACAAAACAGAGGAGAGAGUGGUCCUCUAGCCUCCACGCACCUUCACCGCCGAAGUACUCCGAGAGAUCUACAAGACAAAACGCAGACCAUCGGAGCCAACACCCUAAAAACCGACUCCGUCUGCCUCCAAUUCUCACCGCCUCGCUGAAGCUCCAGGACAACGAUGCUCAAUCACGGAUCUGGGUUUCUCCGGACAAAACCAAGAAGGGACCGCGACGGAGCCUCUCCCACAACCCCACGCAUCUCGACGGAAAGAGGGAAGAAGGACAAAACGGAGCAAAUAUAAAACAGGAGAUGGAGAAGAGACCGCCUCCGGUGACCACGCGCGCCACCAGCAGCCACCGGAGCAAAGAACGCUGCUGCUAAAAGAUGUUACUUUUUAGAAAGAGGUUAGAGGUUUAUCGGGGAGAGAGUGAUAGUGGAGAUUCUUUGUAUAACUUUCCUUAUGUUACUUUUUAGAAAGAGGUUAGAGGUUUAUCGGGGAGAGAGUUGAAACACCGGUUUCAUCUCGUUGCCUAGAACUUGCAAACCAGUGUUUAACACCUAACGGAAAACGAUAACAUCUUAACGUGGGACUUUUAUCGUUCUUAAAAUAAAAAGUAACACACGAUAAGCUUAAAGAGAAAUUGAACCAGAAACACAUGUUGAUGCUCACAAGACUAUUAUAUCAUUCAAGAUAUAAAUGAUCAGAAAAUCUAAAACGGAAUAAAACAACCAACAAAAACUAAACUCCUAUGAAAAACUUGGGCGGU